Molecule: small nucleolar RNA, 74 nt
Organism: Scaptodrosophila lebanonensis
Lineage: Eukaryota; Metazoa; Arthropoda; Insecta; Diptera; Drosophilidae
Product: small nucleolar RNA Me28S-Cm2645
Exons: 1
Source: RefSeq, a predicted model, not a curated record
UAUUGUAUGAGGAUACUAAGAUAGGGACAACUGAUGUCUAUGAAUGAUUUAUCGAAUUUUCUGACACCUAUGUA